RNAcentral lists this unclassified non-coding RNA (332 nucleotides) under Hevea brasiliensis (rubber tree). Lineage: Eukaryota; Viridiplantae; Streptophyta; Magnoliopsida; Malpighiales; Euphorbiaceae. The record is from RNAcentral.
GUAUUGUAAAACUACAAAAAUUCUGGGAUUCAAAAUGGUUGAACUGAAACAUGGGGACCCAACUGAAAUCCAGAGCUAAUUCAGAGGAUGAUUAGUACAAUUAUCCUUACUUUUUAUACUUAUAGUGGCUUAGUUUACUGGAGUAGGCAUAUUUGCAUAUAUUUGUUCACAUGUGUAUGCAGACACUCAUACUCAUUUUCUGGCUGCUCAUGCAUAUUAUGCACAACUUUAAAUCAGAAUGCAUACAGAACAAAAGGAUGAGUCUACAACUCCGCAAAAUUCUUCUUUUAAUUUGUUAAAUUGCUCAGAAUUUCAAUUUCCAUAGAAACUUG